Long non-coding RNA from Gossypium arboreum, 439 nucleotides. RefSeq lists it as uncharacterized. The record is from RefSeq and is a predicted model, not a curated record. The transcript has 2 exons. NCBI's taxonomy places the organism in Eukaryota, Viridiplantae, Streptophyta, Magnoliopsida, Malvales, Malvaceae.
UCAUUCUUUCAUUUCACUUAAAAAAAAAACUAAAGCCUCUAAAAAAUUUUCUCUCAACCAACCUCUGCAGGAGGAAUUCCGGCGCCGUCCGUCACCGUUGGCCACCGUGCACGGUGGCCGGAUAUCCAAAAACGGUGGAUGAGGUCAACGGUGGCAGAGUUGAUGGAGGCAGGUGGAGGGACGGUAUGGUGGCCGGCAGAGGCUAGGGCGGCUAACCUAGGGUUUUUUAGUUUUCUCUCCUUUUUUUUAAUUGUUGUGGGCUAAAGUUAAGUGUUUGUUUGGCCCAUGUAAUUGGGUUAGGAUAGGUUGGGUUUUUAUUUUGUUGGGUAAGUUUAGUCUGGGCCAAAAUUGGGCCUCAACAAAUAUGUUUAGAAAUUAUUAAUAUCACAACUGUAUUAUUAUUUCUUUUUAUGGGAUUGUAUUUUGGUUAUAUAGAUAA